This 174-nucleotide ribosomal RNA is filed under the name uncultured bacterium. RNAcentral's name for it is "partial 16S ribosomal RNA". It matches the Rfam family "Bacterial small subunit ribosomal RNA", at positions 1325 to 1500 of the family's 1533-position model. The record is from RNAcentral.
GUCGGAAUUGCUAGUAAUGGCAGGUCAGCAUACUGCCGUGAAUACGUUCCCGGGCCUUGUACACACCGCCCGUCACACCAUGAGAGUUGGGAAUACCCGAAGCCUGUGAGCCAACAAACGAGGCAGCAGUCGAAGGUAGAAUCAAUGAUUGGGGUGAAGUCGUAACAAGGUAUC